RNAcentral lists this long non-coding RNA (356 nucleotides) under Triticum aestivum (bread wheat). RNAcentral's name for it is "long non-coding RNA (TAES_LNC012460)". Lineage: Eukaryota; Viridiplantae; Streptophyta; Magnoliopsida; Poales; Poaceae. The record is from RNAcentral.
GACAAGUGGGGGACGCUCAAGGCCGCCGAGAGCCCGGCCGACUUCAAGGUGAAGGAGGACAACAACGUGUCCUUGGUCGAGUUUGAGCUCAUCACCGUGAUGCAGUGAUUGAAGAAGGCUCCUCCUCCUCCUCGCCUAUGAGGAGGAGGAGGCACAGGAGGCUCAGCAGCUGUUAGGCUGAGCACAAAGCAAUAAACCGGCCAAUCAUGGCUCAUGUUCUUCACCCCCUCCCCCCCUCUCUCUGUUUACUGUUUAUUUGCUGGAAGUUUUGCUAGUCCUGCUACCUUGGAUUAAUUGUCGUUAGUAAUACAAUAUAUGUUUGUUUGUGCGGAGUUGCAUCCAGAUUGUUGCGAGUG